GACGUAGGGCGCGAGCGUUUGUCCGGAUUUACUGGGCGUAAAGCGCACGUAGGCGGCUUUGUAAGUUAGAGGUGAAAGCCCGGAGCUCAACUCCGGAAUUGCCUUUAAGACUGCAUCGCUCGAAUCAUGGAGAGGUGAGUGGAAUUCCGAGUGUAGAGGUGAAAUUCGUAGAUAUUCGGAAGAACACCAGUGGCGAAGGCGACUCACUGGACAUGUAUUGACGCUGAGGUGCGAAAGCGUGGGGAGCAAACAGG
RNAcentral lists this ribosomal RNA (254 nucleotides) under uncultured bacterium. RNAcentral's name for it is "partial 16S ribosomal RNA". It matches the Rfam family "Bacterial small subunit ribosomal RNA", at positions 524 to 776 of the family's 1533-position model. The record is from RNAcentral.